AUGGUAGGGCACGGAGCCGCCGAGGUGUCGCCGGAGAAGACGAAGUGGGGGCGGAUAGGGAGGCGCCAGGGGCUGCUGGCAAUGGCGCCCGUCGGGAUCGGCGCCGGCGGCUGCGGCUGCGGCUGCUCAUGGGUUCUGAUCUACGACCAGGUGGUGCCUUCAGGGACGUCGCGCCGUCGGCGGUGGGUGCCCCUGCUCCGCAUAGAGGCCGGCGGCGCCAGGGAGGCUGCUGCUACAGCUUAUAUAAGCCUGGAUGAGCAUGGAGAGGCCAGAAGGGCCAUUAAUGCACUGGUCACUGGUCAAUCGCAAGAACGAUUGUGA
Molecule: ribosomal RNA, 321 nt
Filed under: Triticum aestivum (bread wheat)
Lineage: Eukaryota; Viridiplantae; Streptophyta; Magnoliopsida; Poales; Poaceae
Description: partial small subunit ribosomal RNA
Source: RNAcentral